UGGCGGACGGGUGGAGUAACGCGUGGGUAACCUGCCCUGUACAGGGGGACAACAGUUAGAAAUGACUGCUAAUACCGCAUAAGCGCACAGGACCGCAUGGUCCGGUGUGAAAAACUCCGGUGGUACAGGAUGGACCCGCGUCUGAUUAGGUAGUUGGCGGGGUAACGGCCCACCAAGCCGACGAUCAGUAGCCGACCUGAGAGGGUGACCGGCCACAUUGGGACUGAGACACGGCCCAAACUCCUACGGGAGGCAGCAG
This 259-nucleotide ribosomal RNA is filed under the name uncultured bacterium. RNAcentral's name for it is "partial 16S ribosomal RNA". It matches the Rfam family "Bacterial small subunit ribosomal RNA", at positions 96 to 354 of the family's 1533-position model. The record is from RNAcentral.